RNAcentral lists this long non-coding RNA (833 nucleotides) under Mus caroli (Ryukyu mouse). RNAcentral's name for it is "tetraspanin 32, opposite strand (MGP_CAROLIEiJ_G0004092.1)". The record is from RNAcentral. Lineage: Eukaryota; Metazoa; Chordata; Mammalia; Rodentia; Muridae.
GUUUAGUGCUUAUUCAUGGCCAGCCUUGUCCCUGCCCUGCCUGGUGAGGUCUGAGCUGCCAGGUCCGGCAGCGGCUCUAGGAUGUGACUCUGCCCCUGGUUCUGGAGACCACGGGUCAUCAGCAAAUGUACUGAGCAUGAAGACAAGGUUGCAAAGGGUCUAGAUUGGGUCUACCCAGGAAGCAAAGCUCAGGUUCCUGAGGGCUCCUGGAUCCCCCCAGUCUCUCACAGAUGUGAACGGCUGUCUCAUGUUUCUGCUGCAACGGUUAUGAGCUGCUCCCAUUGCUAUGACUGACUGGGAGCCAACACAAAUCGUUCUUCCCUACUACAGUUGUUUCUAUCAGGUAUUUUGUCAAAGCAACAGGGACUCAGCACAGGCAGAGAGUGCAAGCUCAGAGAAUCGCUGUCCUUAUCACUCUCUAUCACCCCAGCCUGAGGACAGAAGACUGAAUUUUCUGCACCCCAAGGAGCUGGAACAAUGUCCUCUGAAUCCAUCAAUGCAGUCGGGUUCCUGUAGCCACUGCUCAUGUUCCUGGAAACACAGAGGUUUCCCCAUCACCCAUCAAUGAUUAUUUUUGUUCUUCAUGGAAAAUCCACCAGUGACUGGCAGAUGGAACCCAGGGCUUCUGCAUACACUAGCUCAGCUAGAAGGGGAAUGGAUAAGGACACGGGACCUCCCAUCUCUGUGGGGGUGUGGACGUACAUCUGGCUAUGCAGUCCCAGCUGUCUGUAAGACUACAGCAGAAACCUGAGAUCAGCAGAGACCCCAUCCAGUCCCCAGCAACCUGUACAGACACACUGUGCCCUGUGGUAAAACACACAAUUGAGUUGUUC